AGCGGGAAAAGCUCAAAUUUAAAAUCUGGCAGUCUCUGGCUGUCCGAGUUGUAAUCUAGAGAAGUGUUAUCCGUGCUGAACCGUGUAUAAGUCUCCUGGAAUGGAGCGUCAUAGAGGGUGAGAAUCCCGUCUUGGACACGGACAACCAGUACAUUGUGAUGCGCUCUCAAAGAGUCGAGUUGUUUGGGAAUGCAGCUCUAAAUGGGUGGUAAAUUCCAUCUAAAGCUAAAUAUUGGCGAGAGACCGAUAGCGAACAAGUACCGUGAGGGAAAGAUGAAAAGAACUUUGGAAAGAGAGUUAAACAGUACGUGAAAUUGUUGAAAGGGAAACGCUUGAAGUCAGUCACAUUGGCCAGGGAUCAACCUAGCUCAUUUGCUUGGUGUACUUCCUGGUUAAUGGGUCAGCAUCAAUUUUGAUCAUUGGAAAAAGGUAUAGGGAAUGUGGCAUCUCCGGAUGUGUUAUAGCCCUAUAUUGUAUACAGUGAUUGGGAUUGAGGA
RNAcentral lists this ribosomal RNA (497 nucleotides) under Amanita thiersii. Its description in RNAcentral is "eukaryotic LSU rRNA". It matches the Rfam family "Eukaryotic large subunit ribosomal RNA", at positions 97 to 592 of the family's 3401-position model. Lineage: Eukaryota; Fungi; Basidiomycota; Agaricomycetes; Agaricales; Amanitaceae. The record is from RNAcentral.